UGGGGAAUAUUGGGCAAUGGACGCAAGUCUGACCCAGCAACGCCGCGUGAAGGAAGAAGGCUUUCGGGUUGUAAACUUCUUUUAAGGGGGAAGAGCAGAAGACGGUACCCCUUGAAUAAGCCACGGCUAACUACGUGCCAGCAGCCGCGGUAAUACGUAGGUGGCAAGCGUUGUCCGGAUUUACUGGGUGUAAAGGGCGUGCAGCCGGGAAGACAAGUCAGAUGUGAAAUCCCGCGGCUCAACCGCGGAACUGCAUUUGAAACUGUUUUUCUUGAGUAUCGGAGAGGUAACCGGAAUUCCUAG
RNAcentral lists this ribosomal RNA (303 nucleotides) under uncultured bacterium. RNAcentral describes it as "bacterial SSU rRNA". It matches the Rfam family "Bacterial small subunit ribosomal RNA", at positions 355 to 673 of the family's 1533-position model. The record is from RNAcentral.